CCAACGGCUCUUUUCAGAGCCACCCGCCAUCUCUUUAACCGAAGAGU
Nipponia nippon (crested ibis) is the source of this 47-nucleotide non-coding RNA. NCBI's taxonomy places the organism in Eukaryota, Metazoa, Chordata, Aves, Pelecaniformes, Threskiornithidae. The record is from Rfam.